Molecule: ribosomal RNA, 1474 nt
Filed under: Plagiognathus laricicola
Lineage: Eukaryota; Metazoa; Arthropoda; Insecta; Hemiptera; Miridae
Description: SSU rRNA
Rfam family: Eukaryotic small subunit ribosomal RNA
Source: RNAcentral
CGCAAUUACCCACUCCCGGCACGGGGAGGUAGUGACAAAAAAUAACGAUACGGGGACUCUUAUGAGGCCCCGUAAUCGGGAAUGAGUACACUUUAAAUCCUUUAACAAGGAUCCAUUGGAGGGCAAGUCUGGUGCCAGCAGCCGCGGUAAUUCCAGCUCCAAUAGCGUAUAUUAAAGUUGUUGCGGUUAAAAAGCUCGUAGUUGGUUCUGCGUGCUACGCUGUCGGUUCGCCGCCUGCCGGUGUAACUGGCAUGCCGUGGCAUGUCCUGUCGGUGGCGUGCGGGAGCCUUGUCAGGUGACGGCCCGGGUCACAAGCUCGGUGUCCGCCGGCCGGAGGUCCACCCCGUGCGCCUACUCUAUCCUACCUAGGUGCUCUUCACCGAGUGUCGAGGUAGGCCGACACGUUUACUUUGAACAAAUUAGAGUGCUCAAAGCAGGCUGAAAUCUCUGCCUGAAUAGUGGUGCAUGGAAUAAUAAAACAGGACCUUGGUUCUAUUUUGUUGGUUCUUAAGAACACAAGGUAAUGAUCAAUACGGACAGGCGGGGGCAUUCGUAUUGCGACGUUAGACUUGGCAAAUGCUUUCGCGGUGAAAUUCUUGGAUCGUCGCAAGACGCACAAGAGCGAAAGCAUUUGCCAAGUAUGUCUUGAUUGAUCAAGAACGAAAGUUAGAGGUUCGAAGGCGAUCAGAUACCGCCCUAGUUCUAACCAUAAACGAUGCCAGCCAGCGAUCCGCCGAUGUUCCUCCGAUGACUCGGCGGGGAGCUUCUUCCCGGGAAACCAAAGCUUUUGGGUUCCGGGGGAAGUAUGGUUGCAAAGCUGAAACUUAAAGGAAUUGACGGAAGGGCACCACCAGGAGUGGAGCCUGCGGCUUAAUUUGACUCAACACGGGAAACCUCACCAGGCCAGGACAUUGGAAGGAUUGACAGAUUGAUAGCUCUUUCUUGAUUCAGUGGGUAGUGGUGCAUGGCCGUUCUUAGUUGGUGGAUCGAUUUGUCUGGUUAAUUCCGAUAACGAACGAGACUCUAGCCUAUUAACUAGGCGUUUACCGGUGCCCCCGUCACCGGCGACACUCAUUCUUCUUAAGGGGACAGGCGGCUUAUAGCCGCACGAGAUUGAGCAAUAACAGGUCUGUGAUGCCCUUAGAUGUCCUGGGCCGCACGCGCGCUACACUGAAGGAAUCAGCGUGUGCCUCCCUGGCCGAAAGGCCCGGGUAAUCCGCUGAACCUCCUGCGUGCUAGGAAUUGGGGCUUGCAAUUGUUCCCCAUGAACGAGGAAUUCCCAGUAAGCGCGAGUCAUAAGCUCGCGUUGAUUAACGUCCCCUGCCCUUUGUACACACCGCCCGUCGCUACUACCGAUUGAAUGAUUUAGUGAGGUCUUCGGACUGGCGGUAAUCCCUAUCGACUUGUCGGUAUCGAUGAACGCUGGAAAGAUGACCAAACUUGAUCAUUUAGAGGAAGUAAAAGUCGUAACAAG